This 1431-nucleotide ribosomal RNA is filed under the name metagenome. RNAcentral describes it as "bacterial LSU rRNA". It matches the Rfam family "Bacterial large subunit ribosomal RNA", at positions 1506 to 2912 of the family's 2925-position model. The record is from RNAcentral.
CCAAGUUUAAGGUGGUAGGCUGAAAUCUUAGGUAAAUCCGGGGUUUCAAGGCCGAGAGCUGAUGACGAGUCGUCUUUUAGAUGACGAAGUGGUUGAUGCCAUGCUUCCAAGAAAAGCUUCUAAGCUUCAGGUAACCAGGAACCGUACCCCAAACCGACACAGGUGGUCGGGUAGAGAAAUACCAAGGCGCUUGAGAGAACUCGGGUGAAGGAACUAGGCAAAAUGGCACCGUAACUUCGGGAGAAGGUGCGCCGGCUAGGGUGAAGGAUUUACUCCGUAAGCUCUGGCUGGUCGAAGAUACCAGGCCGCUGCGACUGUUUAUUAAAAACACAGCACUCUGCAAACACGAAAGUGGACGUAUAGGGUGUGACGCCUCCCCGGUGCCGGAAGGUUAAUUGAUGGGGUUAGCGCAAGCGAAGCUCUUGAUCGAAGCCCCGGUAAACGGCGGCCGUAACGAUAACGGUCCUAAGGUAGCGAAAUUCCUUGUCGGGUAAGUUCCGACCUGCACGAAUGGCGUAACGAUGGCGGCGCUGUCUCCACCCGAGACUCAGUGAAAUUGAAAUCGCUGUGAAGAUGCAGUGUAUCCGCGGCUAACGGAAAGACCCCGUGAACCUUUACUGUAGCUUUGCACUGGACUUUGAGCCUGCUUGUGUAGGAUAGGUGGGAGGCUUUGAAGCGUGGACGCCAGUUCGCGUGGAGCCAUCCUUGAAAUACCACCCUGGCAUGCUUGAGGUUCUAACUCUGGUCCGUAAUCCGGAUCGAGGACAGUGUAUGGUGGGCAGUUUGACUGGGGCGGUCUCCUCCUAAAGAGUAACGGAGGAGUACGAAGGUGCGCUCAGACCGGUCGGAAAUCGGUCGCAGAGUAUAAAGGCAAAAGCGCGCUUGACUGCGAGACAGACACGUCGAGCAGGUACGAAAGUAGGUCUUAGUGAUCCGGUGGUUCUGUAUGGAAGGGCCAUCGCUCAACGGAUAAAAGGUACUCCGGGGAUAACAGGCUGAUACCGCCCAAGAGUUCAUAUCGACGGCGGUGUUUGGCACCUCGAUGUCGGCUCAUCACAUCCUGGGGCUGAAGCCGGUCCCAAGGGUAUGGCUGUUCGCCAUUUAAAGUGGUACGCGAGCUGGGUUUAGAACGUCGUGAGACAGUUCGGUCCCUAUCUGCCGUGGACGUUUGAGAUUUGAGAGGGGCUGCUCCUAGUACGAGAGGACCGGAGUGGACGAACCUCUGGUGUUCCGGUUGUCACGCCAGUGGCAUUGCCGGGUAGCUAUGUUCGGAAAAGAUAACCGCUGAAAGCAUCUAAGCGGGAAACUUGCCUCAAGAUGAGAUCUCACUGGGAACUUGAUUCCCCUGAAGGGCCGUCGAAGACUACGACGUUAAUAGGCUGGGUGUGUAAGCGUUGUGAGGCGUUGAGCUAACCAGUACUAAUUGCCCGU